UCUCCUUUGAAAACAAAUACAGUGAAAAUUUAAUCUUGUUACACUGACACGAUGGGUGACUGGGUCUGGUCGGGUGACCCCGUGGGUUCGGUUAUGGGUCUAACCUCAGAUCCAUGGGUAGUGUUGUGGGCAAGGGAUCCACACGAUUGUUAUUCAGGCAUGGGUUUGGUUGAGGUUGACCUGACCAAACCCGACCCGAUUGCCACCUUGAGACCUGAUGAUGAGUCCUAGGCGCAACUGUGAUGCUCUUCUGCGUCUUAUUGAUCAAUCGAGAUAAGCCCUAGGAUAAGUACAUCUUUUCUAGUUUCAGUUUUAAUUUUCAAAUUGUUGUUCCUUCUAUAUUUCUGAGUUAGGAAUUGGGCGAGUUUUAUUUAAAAUAUCAACCUUGUGUACAAUAUACCAAUUGAUAACUAGGUUAACUGAUUCUAGCUUUCACGGAAUAAUUUGUACAAAAUAAGUUUGAGUAUGUGAGAGAGGAAUAAAUCUGUAGGUAGUAUCUGCCUUCAGUAUGCUAUUUUAUUUAAUGUCUCAACCUUUUGACAUUGGCAGGGGAGCUAAAGGAGGGUUUUCCUAUGUUUGUUGUAAAAUCUACAAUUUGCAACAUGUCUCAGUUAAUUGAUCUGAACAAGCUUCCUUGGGAUCCAUCUAAAAGUUGCCGGCUAGAAAUUUUAUUCAAGAAGAUUACGAACAAUAUAUUGCUGGUUAAAUGGAACUUGACUUUUUAGAGCGUCCAGAUGGAGCAUAUCUAUCAGAAUUGUUGGACCAUUCAUACUAGGGUCUUGUGGAAGGCCAAUGGAGAACAUUUACCUUAGUGUAUACUACUGGAUCAGGAUGGAACAAAAAUGGAAGCGAUCGCAUACAACAACCAAGCGUUUUGCUUCAACACCAUGCUACAAACCGGCAUAACACAUGACUUCACUCGCGUCGGGUUCAACCCCACGGAAAUACCAUAUGGACAUUUCUGGUAUCUAGCCAUGGAGUUUGUCAUCACACUAAAUGCUAGAACCGAGGUUAGGAUGUCGGUGCACAGGAUAACAUCGACAAUUUGUCCAUCGUGCUUCCCACAAUUUGGGGCCAUAUUCUCGC
Molecule: long non-coding RNA, 1086 nt
Organism: Triticum aestivum (bread wheat)
Lineage: Eukaryota; Viridiplantae; Streptophyta; Magnoliopsida; Poales; Poaceae
Exons: 4
Source: RefSeq, a predicted model, not a curated record